GUGCCAGCCGCCGCGGUAACACGUAGGGGGCGAGCGUUGUUCGGAAUUACUGGGCGUAAAGGGCAUGUAGGCGGCUCUGUAAGUCCGGCGUGGAAGCCCACGGCUCAACCGUGGGAUUGCGUUGGAAACUGCGGGGCUUGAAUCAUGGAGAGGGAGCUAGAAUUCCAGGUGUAGGGGUGAAAUCUGUAGAGAUCUGGAAGAAUACCAGUGGCGAAGGCGAGCUCCUGGCCAAUGAUUGACGCUGAGGUGCGAAAGUGUGGGGAUCAAACAGGAUUAGAAACCCCAGUAGUCC
RNAcentral lists this ribosomal RNA (292 nucleotides) under uncultured bacterium. Its description in RNAcentral is "partial 16S ribosomal RNA". It matches the Rfam family "Bacterial small subunit ribosomal RNA", at positions 505 to 796 of the family's 1533-position model. The record is from RNAcentral.